AAAAAAGCAUUUUCGAAUAUAUCAUAUUAUUCAUUUACUUAUCGCCCUUCUUUCCUUGCUGAUCCAGUACGUUAAAAAUUUUUUGUGUGGUUUAUUGCAUUGUUCCUGCUGGUACGUAAAUAGAUUAAGAAAACAAUAGGUAAAACCUUUUUUGGGGGUGUCCCGGGGUUACGGCGAUUGUUGACAUACACAAAACUAUACUUUGCUGUCAUUUUCACGUAGUCCUCUUCUACGGAACGUUGCACCCUACAUUUAACUUUUACUCUAUUCUUUUUCUUCUUG
Non-coding RNA from Schizosaccharomyces pombe (fission yeast), 282 nucleotides. The record is from the annotation of a GenBank genome assembly. NCBI's taxonomy places the organism in Eukaryota, Fungi, Ascomycota, Schizosaccharomycetes, Schizosaccharomycetales, Schizosaccharomycetaceae.